This is a non-coding RNA of Mycena galericulata, 100 nucleotides long. Lineage: Eukaryota; Fungi; Basidiomycota; Agaricomycetes; Agaricales; Mycenaceae. The record is from the annotation of a GenBank genome assembly.
GCGUCGGUGGGGUAUCUGGAAACCCGCAGCCUAUCAAUAACAUGACGGAAUACCUACUACCUGCUAGGCUGUGCCCGGGGUUCGACUCCCCGUCGAUGCA